AACGGCAGCGGGCCUUCGGGUGCCGGCGAGUGGCGAACGGGUGAGUAAUGCAUCGGAACGUGCCAUUGAGUGGGGGAUAACGUAGCGAAAGUUACGCUAAUACCGCAUAUUCUGUGAGCAGGAAAGCAGGGGACCGCAAGGCCUUGGCGCUCUUUGAGCGGCCGAUGUCAGAUUAGCUAGUUGGUGAGGUAAAGGCUUACCAAGGCGACGAUCUGUAGCGGGUCUGAGAGGAUGAUCCGCCACACUGGAACUGAGACACGGUCCAGACUCCUACGGGAGGCAGCAGUGGGGAAUUUUGGACAAUGGGCGCAAGCCUGAUCCAGCCAUGCCGCGUGAGUGAAGAAGGCCUUCGGGUUGUAAAGCUCUUUCGGCCGGGAAGAAAUCGCAUGGGUUAAUACCCUGUGUGGAUGACGGUACCGGCAUAAGAAGCACCGGCUAACUACGUG
This 446-nucleotide ribosomal RNA is filed under the name uncultured bacterium. RNAcentral describes it as "bacterial SSU rRNA". It matches the Rfam family "Bacterial small subunit ribosomal RNA", at positions 65 to 507 of the family's 1533-position model. The record is from RNAcentral.